GGCUCCUUAGCUCAGUGGUUAGAGCAGUCGACUCAUAAUCGAUUGGUCCCCAGUUCAAGUCUGGGAGGAGCCA
RNAcentral lists this transfer RNA (73 nucleotides) under Candidatus Enterovibrio escicola. Its description in RNAcentral is "Candidatus Enterovibrio escacola tRNA". It matches the Rfam family "tRNA". From Rfam's summary of the family: Transfer RNA (tRNA) molecules are approximately 80 nucleotides in length. Their secondary structure includes four short double-helical elements and three loops (D, anti-codon, and T loops). The record is from Rfam by way of RNAcentral. Lineage: Bacteria; Pseudomonadati; Pseudomonadota; Gammaproteobacteria; Vibrionales; Vibrionaceae.